GUUUGUUUCAACAACAACAACAACAACAACAAAAAUACCAUAAUUUCUCUCUCCCCCCCUUUAGCAAACAUGCACCUGCUCUGCUUUCCCUCUUAAGGUGGGGGAUUCUUGUCAGUUCCUUUCCAUUCCCCAAAUGAGCUGUGAGAUCCACAUUCAAAUUUGCAGCUGACAGUUUAGGGUUAAGAUAUAAUUCCAGGUAACAGAAGCCAAUGAGAGUAUACCCCGUUGAUGUUUGUGACAUCAUCCUACAGUCGGAGUACACAGAACAGCUGAGGUAGCCUUCAGCCUCAGUACCAGUUGCCAUUAUGAUGGAUGUUUACAUCUCUUCAUUGAGAGCCAAUUAUUUUGCUUUUGUGUGAGGCCCAAGAAUCGCUCAUGCUGCCGGCAUUCACAGAGCCUGUUGGAUGUAGCUGAACGAAUUGUUUUCUCUCCUCCUGUGGAUUCUUCAAAGUCAUAACAGUUCAACCAAUGAUUAGCCUAUGUUUACUGCUCUGAAGUCAACUUAAAUGGAGCUUACUACUAGGAGAAGUCUGGCUCUGAGGAGAGAGAAGUUACACAGAAUGUAAGUGCUUUGUAUGAAAUUCUCCCAUUGUGUGAAACCUCAGUGAUACAUAUGAUGAACAUUUCUUGAUGUUUAUUGAUAUAGUGAAGAACUGGUUUCAUCGUGGAUUUAACAACUGUGGGUCAAUGGGAAACGCACAUGGAAGCAGUAGGAGCUGAGGAGCAGAAGGGG
RNAcentral lists this long non-coding RNA (733 nucleotides) under Pogona vitticeps (central bearded dragon). RNAcentral describes it as "lncRNA (ENSPVIG00000023884.1)". The record is from RNAcentral. Lineage: Eukaryota; Metazoa; Chordata; Lepidosauria; Squamata; Agamidae.